GUCCACGCCGUAAACGAUGAGUACUAGCUGUCGGAGGUUACCCCCUUCGGUGGCGCAGCUAACGCAUUAAGUACUCCGCCUGGGAAUUACGCUCGCAAGAGUGAAACUCAAAGGAAUUGACGGGGACCCUCACAAGUAGCGGAGCAUGUGGUUUAAUUCUAAGCAACGCGAAGAACCUUACCUAAGCUUGACAUCCUUCUGACCUCUCCCUAAUCGGAGAUUUCCCUUCGGGGACAGAAGUGACAGGUGGUGCAUGGUUGUCGU
Molecule: ribosomal RNA, 264 nt
Filed under: uncultured bacterium
Lineage: Bacteria
Description: partial 16S ribosomal RNA
Rfam family: Bacterial small subunit ribosomal RNA
Source: RNAcentral